GCUUGUUACUACUGAGAGGGAUUAAUGAGGGUUAAUUUUAAAGGUGUAUUUUAAAAGUAAAAUAUGAAAUAUCUAACUUAUCAAAGAUGAACACAAAACCUGAAAAAAACAAAAUAAUCCUGUAACCAAAGUAGAUCCAAAAAUGCUACCAAAUGAAUACCUUAACCAAAAUAUCAAUGAAAUUCCACUAUGUACCAUUAGUUCUUAUAUUAGAAACAAAAGUAAGCAUUUAUAUAUAAUUGACCUAGGUUAAUCAUUUUCGAUAAAAUAUGCAAAAAAGACAAAUGGGGGUCCAACAAUUUCUAAGCACAAAGCA
RNAcentral lists this long non-coding RNA (316 nucleotides) under Bos taurus (domestic cattle). RNAcentral describes it as "long non-coding RNA NONBTAT022510". Lineage: Eukaryota; Metazoa; Chordata; Mammalia; Artiodactyla; Bovidae. The record is from RNAcentral.